GAAGGAACUGUGCAAAUGUAAUUAAAGUAUCAGAUCUGAUUUUAAAAUAUAAAAUUAUUUGAGUGAUCCUAAGCUAACAACUCUGAAUCUUUAAAUUGACUGUAGAGAUCAUAGUCAGAAGUCAGAAUUUCAAAGUGUGAAAAAAAUUCAAUGAGAAGAAAAUUCUCUUUCUAGCUUUUAAAAUGGAAGGGGUGGCAUAAAAAGGAAUGCUGGAGUUAUUUAGGGUUGACAGCAGCCCCUAUCUGAUAGCUAGCAAAGAAAUGAGGACCUCAGUGCUACAACUGCAAGUAACUGAGUAUGACCAACCAACUGAAGGAGCUUGGAAUCUGAUUCUUCACCAGAGCCUCCAGAUAUUGUAUUGAAAAUCAGAUGAGGCCAGGCACAGUGGCCCACAGCUGUAAUCCUAGCACUUUGGGAGGCCUAGGUGGGCGGAUCGCUUGAGGUCAGGAGUUCGAGACCAGCCUGGCCAACAUGGUGAAACCCCGUCUCUACUACAAAUACAAAAAUUAGCUGGGCAUGUUGUUGGGUGCCUGUAAUCCCAGCUACUCUGGAGGCUGAGGCAGGAUAAUUGCUUGAACCUCGGAGAUGGAGGUUGCAGUGAGCCAAGAUCGCACCACUGGACUCCUGCCAGGGUGACUGAGUAAGACUCCGUCUAAAAAAUAAAUAAAUAAAUAAUCAGAUAAAAUAAAUUUUAAAUGUAAUAUUCUCUUACAUAAAUUUUCAUGUGAAAAUUCAGUUUUCUCUAAAUAAACCAAUAGUGUAAAUAUAUCAUCAGUUUUAUCUGUGAAGAAUUUUUCAAGAAAUGUGAUUCUUUCAUAAAAUCAGAGCCAGUUAGAGCUCCCGAGUAAAUCACUGACUUGAGUUUCAAUAGCAUCUAAGGGACUCUUAGUAAUGAUGUUUUAGCAAAUUAUUAAAUACUCCUGUUUAAAAUAUUUAGGGAAAAAGUAUAAGCAAUAAAUCUACUUAAAUGUCAAGUAUAUGGACAUCACAACUAUUAUAAAUAACAAUAAUGCGUGGAUAGUCUCAUAUGCAGUUUUCUUCUAGGCUCAGAAUAUAUUAAAAUCUUGAAAUCUGACAACAUUCAGAAUAGAGUCUAUUAUUUUGUAUAUCUAUUUUAAAAAUAAAUAUGAAAGGAUUGGAUUUAUUUGCUCUAUAAAUAUGUGAGUAAUACAGUUCCUGAAGAAUUAUGAUCUGAAUACUAUGGGAGUAUAUAUGUCAUUUCAGCAACACAUCUACAUUGUACAUUUGUGUAAAUUGGUUUGUAAGUUUAUGUAUAUGUGUAUAACUCUUUUCUCCUCAUGAACGUAUAUCUUUGGAGAAUUUAAACAUUCAUUUCAAAACUUUCUGUAUGUAUUACGUGAUUAAAAUUUAUAAUAACAUAUAUAGUGUACAAAGAGAUAGAUUCCACAGAAACUAUUCUAUUACAAAAUCUCUACAGCUAAAGUUGGCUGACUUAGUAGGUAUGAAGUUGUGAUUCAUUCAAAUAAAUAUCUUCAAAUAAAUUGAUGGAAGGGACAAUGGUGGACAUGUUAAAGGAUAGAGUCAGGAAACAAAUGAACUUUUGAACCAUACUGACCUUUAAAUCCCAUCAAAACAAUAACAUAAUAUGAUUUUCUAUGUCAUCCAUUUUUCAUGGCCCUGAUAAAGAGCCUGCUUCUACUUAUAUCUUCAAAGAUAUUUCUCCAUGGAAUGACAUCUCAGAAAUCCAUGCUAUAAUUCAGUAAAUCUUUUAUUUUGGCAAUGGUAAUAUUUUGUACUUGUUUCUGAAUAUGUGUUAUGAUCCCUUUAGAUCAGAUCUUUUGUGAAAUACAAAAGCCAUCCUAUUUUCUCUAAAUCUUUAAUCAAGGAUUUACAUAGAGUAUGCUUUAAACAAAUGUUAUUUGUGGUAAUAUGGGCCCUUAAUGAAAUAAUCCAGCAAUAAAUAAAUAUUUUAAUUACUUAGAAAAUUCAAAUAAAUGAUGUCAAGCUAUACCUAGGCUAAAUUAUACUAUGACCAUUGCUUGACUAUAUUAUGUCACUUAUAUUCUGCUACCAUUUACUUGCAUGCUAUUGCCUCAGAUUCGGAUUUUCUACGUUUCAAUAGCUCAGGAAGGUGCAUACAUGUAAGCAGAACAUCUAAUUAAAAGAAUAUUAUUUCCAAAUGUGCUUUUGAAUUUAUAUGUGGAAUCGUGUUAACUGUUCACAAAUAGGAAAGGCAGAAGUCCAUUUCGGGAAUAACAUCCGAUUUCUUUGAAAAUUAUCUUAUGGACCUAUUAGAACAGAUCAGGGCAAAGUGGUAUGUGAUAGGUGAAUAGUAUUAGAAACCUUGGGAGUCAAAUGUUGAAUCAAAGGGAAUUCAAAAAGUGGUUCAGAAUAAACCACUGUCAACAAAUCGCCAUGAAGUGUGAUGAUAUUGAAAGAAAAAAUUGGAAAACCCAGACCGAAUGAUAAAAUAGUUAAUCCCUAAAGUGCCUGGCAGAGGAAAGAAAGUUCAAGCUAAAUCAAUGUAGUAUCUUUCCUCAGCUAAUGUAUUAACUUAUGAGGAGGCUAGAUAUUGAAUUUUUAGUCCAGAUCUUUCACAGUUUUUUCUAGAGAGAAGAAUAUUGGACAGUUUUCUACUUAUAUGUGAUAUGUUUAUGAAAUAGUGGAAGAUGUAUAAUGUUGAUGUAAAUAUAAUUUUCUUUUUUUAAAUGUGUAUUAAAAUUGCCUAAAUUAAUGUGUAGGAUGCUGGCAUUUGGCAUACAGGAUUCAGCUUUGCAGAAUAAGGACAAAUGAUCUCUCCAAUAGUGAUAACAAAUAUUGAUAAAAAACCACUGUGGAGUGAUCAUUUAAAAAUAUGUAGAAAAAUUACCUAAAAGUUCUGGGAGAAUUUGCAACCAUAAAUUGCUUAAUCAGUGUGCAAAUAAGUUUGCGAUCUCGGCUCACUGCUAACUCCGCCUCUCGGAUUCAAGCGAUUCUCUUGCCUCAGCCUCCCUAGUAGCUGGGACUACAGGCGCCCACCGUCGUGCCCAGCUAAAUUUUUUUUUUUCUUUUUUUUUUGUAAUAGAGACGGGGUUUCUCCAUGUUGGUCAGGCUGGUCUCAAACUCCCGACCUCAGGUGAUCCGCCCUCCUCGGCCUCCCAAAGUGCUGGGAUUACAAGUGUGAGCCAACACGCCCGGCCGUAUAUUUUACUUUUUUAGCAUAACCGUCAAGAAGAGAUUUGAAAUGAAUAGAUAUAUUUUAUUGUUGAUGUAUUAUAUAAAUUUUUAAUGGCUAGAUGAUGAUUUCUGGAAUUAUUUGAAUGCAUCUUGACAAAAAGAAAAGCUUUCUAGAGCUUACUCAUGAACAAAUGAUUGGUCAAAAUAACAAAAAUGAAUAAAAAGGAAAUUCAUUAUACUUUCAUAACAAUUUUUUUUAGUCAUGUGUAAAGUAUUACUGAAAGAAUCAAUAUAUGUCUUGUUUUUUCCAAAUGUAAUUAUUCAUGGUUUUAAAUCACUAUGGCUACAUCACAGUAUUCUAAUUGACUGUAGUAAAUUCCUUUUUAGAGGAAAUAACCUAUCUAAAAGUGGUUUGUUACUAAAAUUUAAAAUAAUAAACAGAAAAUUGUAUUAUCCAAUUAGUUGUAUAUUCCCACUGAAAUAAAUCUUGCUCUCAAUUUCCAAUACAGCAGGUAAUUUCAAGGUUGUAUUAAAUAUGGAGCAGCUGGAGGUUGCCAAAUGAAUGUUUUGAAUGAGUACAUUUUAGUGAAGUGUGUACUAUCUUUUUUGACAUGCAUGUAAUCAUAACACAUUUUCUGGCAGCUGGGUUCCCUAGGGCAAAAUGAAGCUGCAAUAGAAGAUAAAACAACCUGCUUAUGUAAUGACCAUAAAAUAGUAUGUAUAUAUUUCUGAAAAAUGUCUCAAUCGGAUGACUGACUCUAGCUGAGGUCUUAUUUUACAGUUCGCAUCAGUGAAGCAUUUUCAAAAUCCUGGGUAUCUCGCUCUUUUAAACUAAAUCUGAAAUUUUAUUUAACAAGUGAACAAAAUUUCUUAAUAAAAUGUUUUCUAAAUAAAAAGAUAAAAUGAUUUUAGUAAUUUUAAUUUAUCCUGCCACAAGUAUAUGGAACCAAAGUCAUACAGGGUUUGGCGUUUUUUUUUUUUUAAUUUUAAUCAUAAAUUCAGUCUUAGAAUUUGAAUGAAUACAUGGGGAAAGUAUUUUUGUGUGAAAUACUCGUUAGAAAUGGCUUUCUUCCCCCAGAAAAGCCUAUAGUAAGCCACUGGGUUUGAAUAGUAUGAAUAGUAGUUUUGUUUUGUUUUGUUUUAAUUUCCCAGAGUCAAACUUUACCAGUAAAACAAAAAGUACACAAGUGAGUAAAACUUCCUGAGGUCUGGGACAUGCUGCAUGACUGCCCACAUCCUUUCUCACCACAUCAAAGUCAUGCUUUCUGGACCAGAAUAAUAGAUAAGUCCUGUAAGUGGGCAUUUGUGGUUUAUUUCGUAUCACUCUGUUGAGAGCAUUUAAGUUAUGAAACAUAUCUUCUUUAUAUCUUAGAGAAUUAUUUAGCUUACAUGAUAUUCUCCAGGGAUGACCAUAGUGAUUUUUAUUCAUAAGGACUAUCACAUGUUUUAUUUAACAAAUUUAAAAAGGUUACCUACAUUUAUACCUUUUUGCAUCAGGCUUUCUACUCUUAUUCAUCACGUCUCUUCCUGAUCUGCAUUAGUGUUGUGUACAUUUAAUAUUUGAGAAUGUGUAAUUAUACUGUAGAAGGAGAAAAAUAUACAAGAUAGAUGAAAUUUAUAAGAUAUCCUGGUAUAGAAAAUUCAUAUUCCAGCAGAUUUCAAAAUAUAAGUUAACAUAAAAUGCUUUUAGUAUGUAUACUAAUGUGGGACAUUACAGAAACAGGCAAAAUGCAUUGAAUAGAUGAUAAUACAUUUAGGAAAAAUAUCCAUGAUUUUCAGAUGAGUAAUAACAAAAAAGAAGAAGCCUAGCAGCAUAUAGGUUAUAAUAUUAAAUGACGGAAAGAGAAAGAGUAAAAAAAGCCAAAGGCAAAUAAAAAUUCUAAUAGAUAUAUUAACUCUCACACACAGAACUUGGUAUUUGGGAGACAAUAACAGAAAAGAGUGUGACAUUUCGAGAGGUUUGAGUUUCUUGAAAACAUUUAGUUAUUCAUAUUUUUGGGAGGUACAUAUCUAUAUUUCUAUUUUUCUAAAAUAUGUUUAAUUAUAAAGGCACUACAAUUAUUAGCAUACUGAUAUUGACAAUAUUUUCUAAAUGUUUAAAUACACUAUAUAUUUCUGACUGUAUUAAUUUUUCCUUUCUAAUGUCAACA
This 5267-nucleotide long non-coding RNA is filed under the name Homo sapiens (human). RNAcentral describes it as "HSALNT0204787". Lineage: Eukaryota; Metazoa; Chordata; Mammalia; Primates; Hominidae. The record is from RNAcentral.